RNAcentral lists this non-coding RNA (30 nucleotides) under Rattus norvegicus (Norway rat). The record is from RNAcentral. Lineage: Eukaryota; Metazoa; Chordata; Mammalia; Rodentia; Muridae.
UAUGUCCCAGACCUGUGGUUGAAGAGGCAA